RNAcentral lists this unclassified non-coding RNA (200 nucleotides) under soil metagenome. RNAcentral's name for it is "partial contains internal transcribed spacer 2 and large subunit ribosomal RNA". The record is from RNAcentral.
CUGUUCGAGCGUCAUUAUAACCACUCAAGCCUGGCUUGGUGUUGGGGUACGCGGUCUCGCGGCCCCUAAAAUCAGUGGCGGUGCCGGUUGGCUCUAAGCGUAGUAAUACUCCUCGCUACAGACCCCUUCCGGUUCCCUGCCAGAACCCCCCAUUUUUACAGGUUGACCUCGGAUCAGGUAGGGAUACCCGCUGAACUUAA